GAUGAACGCUGGCGGCGUGCCUAAUACAUGCAAGUCGAGCGAACGGACGAGAGGCUUGCUUCUCUGAUGUUAGCGGCGGACGGGUGAGUAACACGUGGAUAACCUACCUAUAAGACUGGGAUAACUUCAGGAAACCGGAGCUAAUACCGGAUAAUAUUUUGAACCGCAUGGUUCAAAAGUGAAAGACGGUCUUGCUGUCACUUAUAGAUGGAUCCGCGCUGCAUUAGCUAGUUGGUAAGGUAACGGCUUACCAAGGCAACGAUGCAUAGCCGACCUGAGAGGGUGAUCGGCCACACUGGAACUGAGACACGGUCCAGACUCCUACGGGAGGCAGCAGUAGGGAAUCUUCCGCAAUGGGCGAAAGCCUGACGGAGCAACGCCGCGUGAGUGAUGAAGGUCUUCGGAUCGUAAAACUCUGUUAUUAGGGAAGAACAUAUGUGUAAGUAACUGUGCACAUCUUGACGGUACCUAAUCAGAAAGCCACGGCUAACUACGUG
This 497-nucleotide ribosomal RNA is filed under the name uncultured bacterium. RNAcentral describes it as "partial 16S ribosomal RNA". It matches the Rfam family "Bacterial small subunit ribosomal RNA", at positions 28 to 507 of the family's 1533-position model. The record is from RNAcentral.